UGAGUACGAGAUGCUACGGCGUCGAAGCAGUCUAUGUCAUACUUCCAAGAAAAGCUUGCACUGUCAUAAACAAAGAAUGCCUGUACCAUAACCGACACAGGUGGGUAGGUAGAGUAUACUAAGGGGCGCGAGAUAACUCUCUCUAAGGAACUCGGCAAAAUGACUCCGUAACUUCGGGAGAAGGAGUGCCUUAUUUUUAAGGUUGCAAUAACAAGAUCCAAGCAACUGUUUACCAAAAACACAGGUCUCCGCUAAGUCGUAAGACGAUGUAUGGGGGCUGACGCCUGCCCAGUGCCAGAAGGUUAAAGAAGUUGGUUAGCAUUCGCGAAGCUGAUAACUGAAGCCCUGGUGAACGGCGGCCGUAACAAUAACGGUCCUAAGGUAGCGAAAUUCCUUGUCGGGUAAGUUCCGACCCGCACGAAAGGCGUAAUGAUUUGGAUACUGUCUCGGAGAGGGGCUCGGUGAAAUAGACUUGUCUGUGUAGAUGCGGACUACCUGCACCUGGACAGAAAGACCCUAUGAAGCUUUACUGUAACUUGAGAUUGAAAUUGGACUUUAUUUGCGCAGUAUAGGUGGGAGGCGUUGAGAAUAAUCUUGCGGGAUUAUGGGAGCCAUCAGUGAGAUACCACUCUUGUAAUGUUAGAUUUCUAACUUUGUAUCAUUAUCUGGUCAAAGAGCAGUUUCAGGCGGGCAGUUUGACUGGGGCGGUCGCCUCCCAAAGGGUAACGGAGGCGCACAAAGGUUUCCUCUGAACGGGUAGAAAUCGUAUCUAGAGUGUAAAGGCAUAAGGAAGCUUGACUGUGAGACCUACAAGUCGAGCAGGGACGAAAGUCGGUCUUAGUGAUCUGACGGUGCUGAGUGGAAAGGCCGUCACUCAACGGAUAAAAGUUACUCUAGGAUAACAGGCUGAUCUCCCCCAAGAGUUCACAUCGACGGGGAGGUUUGGCACCUCGAUGUCGGCUCAUCGCAUCCUGGGGCGGUAGUACGUCCCAAGGGUUGGGCUGUUCGCCCAUGAAAGCGGUACGCGAGCUGGGUUCAGAACGUCGUGAGACAGUUCGGUCCAUAUCCGGUGUAGGCGUUAGAAUAUUGAAAGGAGCCUUCUCUAGUACGAGAGGACCGAGAAGGACAUACCUCUGGUGUACCAGUUAUCGUGCCAACGGUAAACGCUGGGUAGCUAUGUAUGGAGUGGAUAACCGCUGAAAGCAUCUAAGUGGGAAGCCCACCUUAAGAUAAG
This 1234-nucleotide ribosomal RNA is filed under the name metagenome. Its description in RNAcentral is "bacterial LSU rRNA". It matches the Rfam family "Bacterial large subunit ribosomal RNA", at positions 1564 to 2808 of the family's 2925-position model. The record is from RNAcentral.